AUCAUGAACAAGUCAGUGAUUUUUCUUUUAUGCCUGGUGCUACUUGGAAUAACACUGAACGCUGAAGCAGGUUCGUACAGGCACUGCACACUCAUUAGGUGUUAUCGCUUGUAUUGCUAUUACAGGUGUCGAUGGCUAUGUCGUGGUAUUUGUGGAUAUGAAGGAGGAAAGAAAGGAGAUGAAGAAUUAAA
This is a long non-coding RNA of Limulus polyphemus (Atlantic horseshoe crab), 191 nucleotides long. RefSeq lists it as uncharacterized. The transcript has 3 exons. NCBI's taxonomy places the organism in Eukaryota, Metazoa, Arthropoda, Merostomata, Xiphosura, Limulidae. The record is from RefSeq and is a predicted model, not a curated record.